GCCCGCUUAGCUCAGUGGUAGAGCGCAUCACUAGUAAGAGAUCGUUAUGAUGAGGUCGCCAGUUCGAUUCUGGUAGCGGGCA
Molecule: non-coding RNA, 82 nt
Organism: Sporormia fimetaria CBS 119925
Lineage: Eukaryota; Fungi; Ascomycota; Dothideomycetes; Pleosporales; Sporormiaceae
Source: the annotation of a GenBank genome assembly